UUGGUGUGAAUUGCAGAAUCCCGUGAACCAUCGAGUCUUUGAACGCAAGUUGCGCCCGAGGCCACCACGGCCGAGGGCACGUCUGUCUGGGCGUCGCAU
Molecule: ribosomal RNA, 99 nt
Filed under: Drosera kaieteurensis
Lineage: Eukaryota; Viridiplantae; Streptophyta; Magnoliopsida; Caryophyllales; Droseraceae
Description: partial 5.8S ribosomal RNA
Rfam family: 5.8S ribosomal RNA
About the family: 5.8S ribosomal RNA (5.8S rRNA) is a component of the large subunit of the eukaryotic ribosome.
Source: RNAcentral